Molecule: long non-coding RNA, 1944 nt
Organism: Ctenopharyngodon idella (grass carp)
Lineage: Eukaryota; Metazoa; Chordata; Actinopteri; Cypriniformes; Xenocyprididae
Exons: 3
Source: RefSeq, a predicted model, not a curated record
UGUAUAAAACACGCGUUAUGCUGCUUGAUAUUGCAAACUGGUAUUUCUUAGCAUAUUAUUUUAAUGAACUGUCUUAAUUAUAAACACACUGAUUUUUAGUGCAAACAGUUUUACCGUUUACUGCACGUUGAUAUUCUUCUUGUUACUUUAUGGAGAGCAAUGAAUCGAAAGUCUCGCACAUUCACAUAAAAGAGCUUACUUCCGCUUUGAAAAAUAAGGUGGAUAGAUAAAUAUGGUAAUUAUUUAGUUGUUUGGUAUAUAUCAUAAUCUGGUAAGUUACCACCACUAAAAUAGAUGUUGGUCAGUUUUAUUAUUUAUUCAAAUGAAUAUACAAUCAAUACAAAUUUAAAAGUUGCUACCAUGUUCUCCAUAAAACCAAAAGUUCAUACAAUAUUGAUCCUACACCCUCGAUCACUCACCAGAAUGAUGAGGAUGAUGAGGAGGAAGAGACUGACAGCCGCCAGCGCUAAGAGGGCGACGCCCCAUCCAGGCACCAGAGCAGAGACUGUGGUAGGUGAAUAAUUCACUGGCGUGGUCUUCGAGGGCUGUGCUGUUGGAAAUGGAGUGGAGCUGAAUGUCGGGUUCACAACAGUGAUGUGGAUGGAGGUAAAAGUGGUCUUGAGGGCUGUAGUGGUGGUGUCACUGGGGGCUGUGGUGGUGGUGCCAUUUGGGGUGGCAGUGAUGGUGGCGUUCGGGACUGUAGUGAUGGUGUCAGUGGUGGUGAUGUUAUUGGAAGGUAAAGUGAUGGUACCAAUGGGUGCUGUUGUGGUGGUCCCAAUGGGGACUUCUGUUGUGGUCCCAUUGGUUACUUCAUUGGUGGUGCUGUUGGGUGCUGCAGAAAUACUUGCAUUAUUCAUUUGUGAGUUGGUUGUGGUGUUUAGGUGCAUUGUGGUGGCGUUAAAGGGUGUGGAGGUGGUGGAGUGGAUGAAGUGUGUGAUGUUUCCUACAACAGCAGAGGUGGACAUGUUGGGUGUGUGUGUGGAUGGAAGGCGGCUGGUGAGGGAUUCGGCAUCCGUUAUGAUGUCAGGAGUGGAAGUGAGGGGCGUGGAAAUGAAGGGCGUGGUCGUAAAAGGUGUUCCUAUGUGUGUUGUCAUUGGCGGUCUGCUGAAGGUCUUCUCUUCUUCAAAAGGUUCUUCAGAUGAUAGUUUAUCUGCGGGUGGGAGAGAAUGUAUACUUUUCAUUAGUUGUUGAUGUAUUUGUCAACACAAUCUCAUGGCAAUCCAUAUCUAUUUUACAUUUUGGCAAAUUGGUGGCUAAUUCAUAUGAAUGUGUACAGAUCUCAUCAUGCUUUCAGCUUAUGCCUUAGUGAUGGUUAUGUUCAGGGGUGGAGCUUCAUACUUACUUUUUCUAAAAAUCUAACAUUUUCGUAUGAUUCACCUUGUAUGGAUUCAUGCAAAACCGCCAUCUUGUAAAAUAUUUACAUUUUCCUGUGAGAUUUGGUUGUAUUUGUCUGAUUUAGAUGGUCAUUUCUUAACUUUUAAAGCUACAAGUAAAACCCCAGUCAAUGAACAAUGUGAAAACAAUGUGAAAUCAACCAUUGUUGACUGUUAUUUUACUUUCAGUGUAGCUGAGGUCGAUCUCUAGUGCCGGGGAUGGAAUUUGUUUGUACGCAGGCAAAAAGAUGUCUCUCACAAUCUCUGGAUCGACUUGGGUCGGCCCAAACAGCAGUCGAGAAGUGGCGAUCACAGACCCCUUACUGCAAAAGAAGCACUCAUAAGAUCAGAUAUUCUCUGUUGCUUGGUUAUAUUGGAUGUAAAUGUAAGAUUAUGAGUUGAUCAAACCUGAAGAUCAUUUCUUCUGUCCCCAAAUAUAUCAGAGGAAAGAAUGUCAUACAGGCUUGGAACAACAUGAGGCUGCUACUUACCCAUGAAAAGUGCAAUCCAACCAACAGCUAAGGUGGUGGAGGCUCUUAGUAUAAUCUUCAUCAUCUUUGAAGACGAGUAA